AACGAUCCAGCAAUCCAAAGUUGACUGGGAGACAAUGACCUAGACCUCUCACGAACUCAUCCCAGCAUUCUCCAUGCGCCACAUCCUUCGGUACAUAUCCUUGACCUGUGGGGGGUGUGAGACAGCAAGGGUGAGCUCACAUACAUUCAUCGCUCAACAAGUUGUGGGGAAUAAUGUGAAUGAACUCACCAAAGGUGUGAGCUCAUGUGAAGUGUAAGGCUUACCAAAGAGGAUGGUUGAAGCUGAGCAUUGCUUUUAAAGUUGGUCAAAAUUUUAUUAGCAGUUACUAAGUGUAAGUAGAUACCAAUCCAAAUAAGUAAUAGAUAAAAAUUGAUAACAACACCCACAAUGCAAUGCAUAUGACAAAUUAAGUUUAGUUUCAUAAAUUAAUCAUGUGAGUGUCCGAGCCGCUCAUGACCGUGAGCACGGCUGAUAUACCAGUUUUACACUCUGCAGGGGUUGCACAUCUUUACCCACAAGUCGUUUUACCCACCUGCCAAGGGGUCAUGAAUCUCAUACACCUCUACCAAGGAAGCGAGGCAGGGUAACACUACGAGACCUUUACAAAGUUCCACUAGCUUCAGAAAACCCGCUACAGUCUAGGAAGCUCCAAUGCAGGGAUCCCUCGCCUAACCGCCAUCGCAGCAAAAUCAACCCAAGGACCUCCCUACAUUGACCACUCCCCUACUGCCCUUGCCCCUUUCGGGUAAGAUAGUCAUCCACUAACUUUCCUAAUUAGUCAGCCAAGGGCGUCCCAUACCACCCUUGUGGUAGCACUGUUUUCCCGAGUGGUUCUCCAUGUUCCAAUUAAUAGUAUGAUCUUAUCAUGAACAAUAAUUAAACAACAACAUAAUUGAAACAUGAUCAUAGUAAAACAUUAGCUUCCCAAAAACCAGAUAGAGCUAUAGCAAAUCUACCCAAUAAUUCAUCUGUUUGCAAGGUGGGAAAUAAACAAUGUUAGGGAAACCUAUUAGGUCCCAUCAAAUUUACCCGAGCAUGUCACAGUGAUUAAAUAUGAACAUUAUUAGGUAAAAAGGAGUGAUCAAGAGCACAACUUGCCUGGGACUCGAGAUUACAGGUACCAGGAUGAUCUUCAGAUGACUCGUAACCUCGCGCUAGUCGUAGCAAUACAAAAAAACAUGGUAUAGGCAAAAUUAACAUUACACCAAAACAUAAGCACAAACUAAAUAAUAAUGAUCUACGCGUCGUAAUGAGAUCGUAGGUUCGAGAAUCACUAAAUUCAGAGUUACGGUUAAAGAGAUACGAUUUUCGGAAGCUCUUUAUGGUUAAUUAAUAUAAAUCAUGGGAGAAAAUAUUACAAAGAAAUAGCUAACUCAACUAUAAUAUAAUUUAUACCUUGAUUAGAAAUCAUAUUUUAAUCAAAUAAUUAUAGACAAAUUAAGGUUUAUUUACUAAACCAGGUUUAAACAAGUAUUUGUUUAUUUUUGAAAACAUGUGACAUACUAAAAUAAUGUUGUUAAUACGUAAGUAAUAUUAUUACGAACCUAACACAACUUUAAUAGGUUAAAAAGAAGUCAAAAUGAAUAAGAUAUGGAUUAACUAAGAUUACAGUAUUAUUUUCAUGUUUAAAAACGAUUUCGAAAUUUAUUUUAUUAUUUCCUGGUAAGCUAGGGUCUGAUCUGUAAAAAAUAGACUCAGUUGCAAGGAUUCCUACACAGAUCGGACCGCGGGUUAAUUUUGCUACAUCUAAAGGGCCUCUUUGGUAGAAGGGCCACAACGAUUUUAUGUGGACUGAUCUGGGCCAAGCAUCUGUUGAUCGACGACACGAAAUAAACCACAAAACAGUACUCUCGAGAUCUAAUCACAACCGAUCAGUCGUGAUCUAACGGUUGACACACAUCUCCCACAGACGGACACCACUGUGCGGCGGCACGGCAUGGCCACGGGUGUCACACCGCCGGCGAUGGGCAACCCGACCCCUCCCCAUUGAACCAAACGGCACAUGAUAAGCCUCUAACCGGUGCUAAGAUGAGUGCAAAUAAGAUGAGAAGAAUCUCACCAGCUAUCACAGACGUGAUGCUGUUUGUCCACGGCACACCGCGGAUUCAAGGCGGAGCGUCGAUUCCGGCGAGCAAUCACCAUAGCUCCUGACGAUCCUACCUGGCCAUGUGUUCGACACUUCGACCUCGGACGACGGGGCUCCCUAGUUCUGCACUCGGCGGCACCUCGAGCCCCCUCCCCGACGUGCCCUGCCCGCAUGGUUACG
This 2227-nucleotide long non-coding RNA is filed under the name Zea mays. RNAcentral's name for it is "long non-coding RNA (ZMAY_LNC003893)". Lineage: Eukaryota; Viridiplantae; Streptophyta; Magnoliopsida; Poales; Poaceae. The record is from RNAcentral.